Molecule: unclassified non-coding RNA, 337 nt
Filed under: soil metagenome
Description: partial contains 5.8S ribosomal RNA, internal transcribed spacer 2, and large subunit ribosomal RNA
Rfam family: 5.8S ribosomal RNA (bases 1-120)
Source: RNAcentral
GAUGAAGAACGUAGUGAAAUGCGAUAAGUAAUGUGAAUUGCAGAAUUCAGUGAAUCAUCGAAUCUUUGAACGCACAUUGCGCCCCUUGGUAUUCCGAGGGGCAUGCCUGUUCGAGCGUCAUUACACCACUCAAGCUAUGCUUGGUAUUGGGCGUCGUCCUUAGUUGGGCGCGCCUUAAAGACCUCGGCGAGGCCACUCCGGCUUUAGGCGUAGUAGAAUUUAUUCGAACGUCUGUCAAAGGAGAGGAACUCUGCCGACUGAAACCUUUAUUUUUCUAGGUUGACCUCGGAUCAGGUAGGGAUACCAGCUGAACUUAAGCAUAUCAAUAAGCGGAGGA